Molecule: long non-coding RNA, 1890 nt
Organism: Helianthus annuus (common sunflower)
Lineage: Eukaryota; Viridiplantae; Streptophyta; Magnoliopsida; Asterales; Asteraceae
Exons: 2
Source: RefSeq, a predicted model, not a curated record
ACAAGGUGUGUGUGUGCGUGAGAACGAUCAGGAGCAAGGGGAAACCCUUCUCCUUCAACUACUUACAAGAAAUCAAGAAUUGAACCUGAUUUUGGGGAGAAAUCGGAUGGAUGAGCUUAUAUUCUUAAUCAUCUAGACAAGAUGAACAUGUGAAUUGGAAUCACACGAGCAUGGGCCAAGCAUGGAAGGCUAACGGGUCAAGAUGAGGCAAGGAAGCGGUUACGGGCAAGGAUGCACAAGGUAAGUAAUUUCCGUAAUUACUUCUUAGUUGUUUAUGUAAAGUUAUAUGCGACUUAACUAAGUAUGAUAAUUGAGGUCAUAUAGGAAUGAAUGGUAUGAUAUCGAUGAAGUGUUAAACGGAUCUUAGCUUUGAUCCGAGCAAGGUAUGUGUGAUUAAGAAUUGUAGCUAAGCGAUAGGAUUGAUUACUUAUGCAAGAUAGUACUUUGUUGUUAAAGAUGGGGCAAGGUUGACAAAAACGCCCUUGAUGGGUAUUUGGGGCAAACGACCUUAAAAGUCGUUUGGUAACGAGCUAUUCGAUUAGAGUAAUGUCUUUGUCAAGUAUGAAAGCGAAGUAUAGGGUUUUGUAUGUCGUAGACCAUUUUAUGCACAAAUACCCAUAACGGGUCAAAAAGGAGCUUUUGGGCGAAAAUGGGUAAGAGGAUGCAAAGCAUCCGAGAGUUUUAAUCUCUUUUGAUAGUCGUUAAUAAAAUGAUUAAGUUCAUAUGAAAUUGAGGUCAUAAAAACAGAUUAUGUGGAUUUGCAUGACGGGUCGAAUAAUUCGUAAAUGAUUAUUAAGCCGAUAGCGUGUAAGUUAAGAAUUCCCUUAACCCGGAUAUGGGAUUUUAAGUUCAUAUGAUAGAAUGUGAAUUUACAAGCAUGUAGGAAGAAACGUGAGGUUAAACGGACAAUUGGGUUAAAAGUUAUGCGAGUUUUAGUGGGCGUUUUAUAUCUGCACCCGGAGUAUGGAACGCCGGGUUUGGGAGUAUGGAACGCCGGGCAGAAACCCAAACGCCCAUGCUUCACUGUCAAACGCUGGUUCCAUGUUAAAGUGAACGUCGGGGUGUUCCAAACAAGCCUAGAUCACUUUCCUUGAGUUCCUUUGAUGUGUGUAAAGCUCCAUGUGAUAGGUUUAUGAUCCGGAAUCACCACGUAACCUUCCACCACUAUCCUACAUGUAAAAAUGCAUCAAAGUAACAUGUCUCGAUACAAAUUCGAUGCUAAAACAUGUAAAUAUUAACCACUUAGGCGUACCAAAAGCAUAUGCAUCAGAUAUGUACGUAUGUAUGUAUGUAUAAACAUGAUUGUAUGUAGAUAUGUAGGUGCGUAUGAUCAGACGUAUGAAUAUAUGAAUGCACGAAGUAGGAUUUAUCAUCUAUGAAAAGAAUGGGACAGGUAUGCAUGUAUACAUGGUUUCAAUACGUUUGAGUAUGGACGUUACUAAUGAUGUGCUUGAGAUUGAAAUGUAAUGCAGGAAUGAGAACGUCAGACUCUUGUAGAAUUGAAGCCGAACCUUGAAGCCGAACUCGGAACAAAGGAAUCCGAGAGGAUAGUCGAAUGAAUCAAAGUUUAUGUUGUCGAAUGUUAUAUGAUUUUUAAUUUGUAUCAGAUUAUUGUCGUAUGACGUGGUCAAUGACUAAUGGUUAAGUUGUAUGUGGUGUCCACAGGUACUACACGGAUUUCUUCUACCACUAUCGAAGAUAAGCGGGCAUAGAUCGAGUCGAAUAACAAGGGUUGUACGGAAAGAACGGUUACGUGGUCUUAAUUUUGUAACGCAUAAAUUUUCAAACUAAAAAGGGAAGUGAAUUUUGUAAGCUUCUUCUUGAAUGUGUGUAUUGUUAUAAGACCGUAAAGAAAAUUUUAAAGCUAUUUUUCCGCUGCGUUAUCUUUAA